Molecule: long non-coding RNA, 583 nt
Filed under: Capsicum annuum
Lineage: Eukaryota; Viridiplantae; Streptophyta; Magnoliopsida; Solanales; Solanaceae
Description: long non-coding RNA (CANN_LNC011693)
Source: RNAcentral
GGCUGAUCCAGAGACGUUUGCCAGAAACCGUGAGCUUGAGGUGAUCCACUGCCGUUGGGCCAUGCUUGGUGCUUUGGGCUGUGUCUUCCCUGAAAUCCUUUCCAAGAACGGUGUCAAAUUUGGUGAGGCUGUUUGGUUCAAAGCUGGAUCCCAAAUCUUCUCAGAAGGUGGACUUGACUACCUCGGCAACCCAAACCUUAUCCACGCCCAAAGCAUCCUCGCCAUUUGGGCCUGCCAAGUUGUUCUCAUGGGCUUUGUUGAAGGAUACAGGGUUGGUGGAGGCCCACUUGGUGAGGGUCUUGACAAGAUCUACCCAGGAGGUGCCUUUGACCCACUUGGUCUGGCUGAUGAUCCCGAGGCUUUUGCUGAAUUGAAGGUCAAGGAAAUCAAGAAUGGACGCUUGGCAAUGUUCUCCAUGUUUGGAUUCUUUGUUCAGGCCAUUGUUACUGGAAAGGGCCCAAUUGAGAACCUCUUUGACCACAUUAAUGACCCAGUCGCCAACAACGCUUGGGCUUACGCCACAAACUUUGUUCCCGGAAAGUGAAGUAAUUAGGGCUAUGUAAUCUGUAAACUUUGGGCUAAU